CCCUUAGAUGUUCUGGGCCGCACACGCGCUACACUGAAGGAGGCAGCGUGUACUCCUGGAUCGAAAGAUUUGGGUAACCCGCGAAUCUCCUUCGUGCUAGGGAUUGAGGUUUGCAAUUAUCCUUCAUGAACGAGGAAUUCCCAGUAAGUGCAAGUCAUAAGCUUGCGCUGACUACGUCCCUGCCCUUUGUACACACCGCCCGUCGCUACUACCGAUUGAAUGGUCCGGUGAAAUCUUCGGAUCUGAGAGAUGUCUGAUUAAUUUCGGACGCCUUUUGGAAAAGUUGCUUAAACCUUACCAUUUAGAGGAAGGUGAANUCGUANCA
This 325-nucleotide ribosomal RNA is filed under the name uncultured eukaryote. RNAcentral describes it as "partial 18S ribosomal RNA". It matches the Rfam family "Eukaryotic small subunit ribosomal RNA", at positions 1470 to 1796 of the family's 1831-position model. The record is from RNAcentral.